UGCUCGCAUUCAUGAACAGACUGUUCAGCUUGUUGUAUCUCUGGCUCCCCGAGCUGCUCAUCGUGUUCGAAGCUGACGAAUUGUGCUGGCCGUACCCACCGGAUCUCGGAAAACUAGGCACUUUGUCUGUCACGAAGGAAAUAAAUAAUUGGUCACCGGUGGAAAUGGACUUGCGGAGGAAAUGACAACUGCAGCACGUGCGAAUUGACGUUUGAGACUUAAUCGAACGGGACGACUUUUUGGAGACGACAAAAUCGGAGGGAAGAAAGCAGCGUGCUGACACGAUCGGAAAAGUUGGAACUACGAAAAAGACGAAACUGAAAGAUGGACAUGGGGAAAUUGAGUUUGAUUGAAACGGAUGGAACGUUGAGGUUCUUAUGAAAAAUCACCGGUCACGAAGUUAUGAAUCGAGAGGAUUUGAGGUGGCGGAGCCCACUGUACAAAGGCCGAGGUCAAAUUGAUCAUGCCAACGUGAACGUUUUCGGGUGAUCCGGAAGGAACGUCCUCGAGUGUCGUCGCCAGUUUUACGUUGCUCGGUCUUCCUUCUAUCGUUU
This is a long non-coding RNA of Venturia canescens, 554 nucleotides long. RefSeq lists it as uncharacterized. The transcript has 3 exons. Lineage: Eukaryota; Metazoa; Arthropoda; Insecta; Hymenoptera; Ichneumonidae. The record is from RefSeq and is a predicted model, not a curated record.